AUUAAAAAAAAAAAAAAAAAAAGAAGAUGAUGAAGGACGAGAUCAUGAUCAGAAUAUUGAAGACAGUUCCAUGGACUCUUCCACUUGACCAGCACCAGUUUCCUCCAAGAGCCACUUCUCAAGAAAUGAUAAUGGAGGAUUACUGUCAGAUUUCUGCUUCUUCUCUGCCUCAGCAAUAAUAUCAUUCUCCUUCUCUUCACUUGCAGAAUCUUGAUGAAUACCCUUUACAGCAGAAAUAUUAUUGGUAGAAUCACGAUUGGAUUUGUCCCAUGCAACAUUGUUCAAGUUAUCAAAAGAUAAAAUGGACUCAAACUCUUCAUGAGAAAUCAGACCACCGCCACCACCAUUUUCUUGCUCAGCUUUUGGCCUGUAACACUGACGAGAAGUUGUAGCCACUGGAAUGCUAACGUUUCCUUCUGGGUUCUCCAAGUUAUUGCUGUCUUGGUUCCAUUUCUCUUUGAAUAGAUCAUUAGUACCAUGAUUGUUAUUAGGCUUUGGAGAUGUUCUCAUCCAACCUUCAAGAAGCCGCGAAAUGUUUUCUGUGCUUGAUGCAUAGGUGGGGGAGGUUUGGUUGAGCUUGAGAGUUGAAGAAUUGGGACUCAAAUUCAAGAAUCUUGAUCUCUCACUGAAGCUCUUUGACACAAACUGGUUAGUUGUUGUUGUUGUUGAUGAGUCUUGUGCUGCCAUGGGAUGGUCCAAAGCUGAUUGGAACUUCUUUAGCUUCUUCUUCAGGUGGGUGUUCCAGUAAUUCUUUAUAUCAUUAUCUGUUCUUUGUGGAAGAUAUGAAGCAAUUGCUGCCCAUCUGUUCAAACCAAAGGUAAUGAACUUCCCAUUUCAGAUUUCAUCAAAAUAAAUAAAUAAACAAACAAAAAGAAUGACUAGGGAUUAAAUUAAUUAAUACCAAAUUUGAAUUUCCAAAAUUAAGUUAAAAAUAUAGAAGUUGAAGAGAAAAUUGAGGAUUACUUGUUACCCAAUAAAGCUUGCAAGUGAAUUAUCAUCCCUUCUUCAUGAGGUGUGAAAUUUCCUCUCUUAAUUCCGGGUCUGAGAUAAUUAGUCCAUCUAAGCCUGCAACUUUUGCUGCACCUCAACAGCCCUUUUGCAGAAACAAAGAUUUGAUCAAUUAAUUACAAUCUUUUGCCAAUUUCCACAAAAUCUAGACAAAGAUUUUAUAUAAAUAUGCAAGUUAAACUUAUAUGAAUUCAGAAACAUGUAUAACAGAAAAGAGAGCUAAGAUAAUAAUAUUAUGAACACAAGUUGGAUCUGUAGCAUGGCAUUUGAUUACCAGUAUUGGUAGGAACUGAUCUCCAGUUUCCUGGACCAUGUUCUUGGAUAUAAGACACUAGAAUAAUAUCCUCCUCAGGGGUCCAUGGACCCUUCUUGAUUCCAACUUUAUCACAGCAAGGAGGUCUUCCCAUGGCUUCUCUUUCUCUCUCCUCUCUCACUUGCUCAUAUUCCCUCUGUGUACAGAUUUCAAGCUAUAUGGACCUU
RNAcentral lists this unclassified non-coding RNA (1488 nucleotides) under Hevea brasiliensis (rubber tree). Lineage: Eukaryota; Viridiplantae; Streptophyta; Magnoliopsida; Malpighiales; Euphorbiaceae. The record is from RNAcentral.